RNAcentral lists this ribosomal RNA (253 nucleotides) under uncultured bacterium. RNAcentral describes it as "partial 16S ribosomal RNA". It matches the Rfam family "Bacterial small subunit ribosomal RNA", at positions 524 to 776 of the family's 1533-position model. The record is from RNAcentral.
UGCGAACUGUGCGAACGUUAUUCGGAAUCACUGGGCUUACAGGGUGCGUAGGCGGCUCAACAAGUCAGGUGUGAAAGCCACCGGCUCAACCGGGGAACUGCGCUUGAAACUGUUAGGCUCGAGUCAGCUAGAGGUACACGGAACUUCCAGUGGAGCGGUGAAAUGUGUUGAUAUUGGAAGGAACACCGGAGGCGAAAGCGGUGUACUGGGGCUGGUCUGACGCUGAGGCACGAAAGCCAGGGGAGCGAACGGG